GAUGAACGCUGGCGGCGUGCCUAAUACAUGCAAGUCGAGCGAACAGACGAGGAGCUUGCUCCUCUGACGUUAGCGGCGGACGGGUGAGUAACACGUGGAUAACCUACCUAUAAGACUGGGAUAACUUCGGGAAACCGGAGCUAAUACCGGAUAAUAUAUUGAACCGCAUGGUUCAAUAGUGAAAGACGGUUUUGCUGUCACUUAUAGAUGGAUCCGCGCCGCAUUAGCUAGUUGGUAAGGUAACAGCUUACCAAGGCAACGAUGCGUAGCCGACCUGAGAGGGUGAUAGGCCACCCUGGAACUGAGACAGGGUCCAGACUCCUAAGGGAGGCAGCAGAAGGGAAUCGGAGGCAGUGGGCGAAAGCCUGACGGAGCAACGCCGCGUGAGUGAUGAAGGUCUUCGGAUCGUAAAACUCUGUUAUUAGGGAAGAACAAAUGUGUAAGUAAAUAUGCACGUCGUGACGGUACCUAAUCAGAAAGCCACGGCUAACUACGUG
RNAcentral lists this ribosomal RNA (497 nucleotides) under uncultured bacterium. RNAcentral describes it as "partial 16S ribosomal RNA". It matches the Rfam family "Bacterial small subunit ribosomal RNA", at positions 28 to 507 of the family's 1533-position model. The record is from RNAcentral.